Pseudophryne corroboree (corroboree frog) is the source of this 1318-nucleotide long non-coding RNA. RefSeq lists it as uncharacterized. Lineage: Eukaryota; Metazoa; Chordata; Amphibia; Anura; Myobatrachidae. The record is from RefSeq and is a predicted model, not a curated record. The transcript has 3 exons.
CUGGCAAAAAAGAAGGCUGGCAAUGGGGAUGAGGGAGGGGGGCGAGAGGCACCUCUGAAUACCUGUUAUUAACUUAUGCUGGCAAGACCUAUAGUUUCAUUAUGGAAACUGAGAUUUCUGGUCACUUGACAGCAGAUUCCAGGGUUUUACCACUGAAUAAACUUAUCUUUAGCCCAAGCAUGAAUGGAGAGUAAAUGGCCAAAAUACAAAGAAAACAAAGAAUAUAAUAAAGAAGCCCAGAAAGCACAGACAGGCAUGGGGAAAUGGUGGCAUCAUAAGAGUCACUACGAGGGAAAAACAUAAAUAGGAUCAAAGCAGGUGUCUUUAACCAACAAAAAAAAAACAGAAGUCUCAACUCUCAACACAUUUCAAGAUUUUUCUAAUACGCAACAGAGCUUAAGGCAGUAGCAGCAGGUGGAGGAUAUUGACACAACAUUUGCAAUCCAGUGGAACAAAAACUGAAAGUGGAGAAGCAAAAUUCAGAAACUGACUAGGACUGUGCCAGCAACAAUUAUGCCGUUUACAAUGCGCUUGCAGGCAGUCACCCUGGUACAGAUGAGCUGCUAAUAAACUAUGACACUUAGGGCCUAAUUCAUGUUUGGAUGUAAUGACGAGGCCGCAAGUACAAUUCUGUGUAAUUAAAAUGCAAAGACAGCAGGAAGCGUCUGUAGGCGAUAGACGUCGCCUGCAUUUACAUGAUUCCAAAUGCUGUGUCUGCGGAUCACCUUCGCGACCAUCGGUCGUGAUUCGCAAUAUUUUUAGGCACCGGUCUGCCUGAGGUAUGGGCCCUACACACAACGCGAUGUCCCGCCGCGGUGCCCGACAGUCGAUACGGCCGACCCGGCGGCGUGGGGGGGGGUGACUAGGAGUGAACUUUCUUCACUCCCCAAGUCACCCAUCCCCAUAGCCCUGCAAGCUAAUAUGGACGAUAUUGUCCAUAUUGGCUUGCAUGCAUAAACGAGCCAGCACCAACGAUGAACGAGCGAGGGGCCGCGCACCGUUCAUCGUUGGUGCCUACACACUGAAAGAUAUUAACGAUAUCUUGUUCAUUAAUGAACGAGAACAUUCAUAUCUUUCAGUGUAAUCGCUAAGUGUGUAGGGCCCAUAAUCUGAAGCUUACUUAGACUGGCCGUCCAAUCUGGACACCGACGACACAGACCCUGGGCCCGUCACAUCGUACAAAUCUGAAUGAGUAAUCUGCCACCAUCUAAAAGAAAACCCUAUAAGUUCAACACCCAAAGAGCCAGAGGGUUAAAAUCACAUCACAUUAUAUUCAAUGUUGAUUGUCGGAAGUGUGUUUUGCCUUGCAGUAAGUAUA